Oryza rufipogon (brownbeard rice) is the source of this 208-nucleotide microRNA precursor. It matches the Rfam family "MIR812 microRNA precursor family". The record is from Rfam. NCBI's taxonomy places the organism in Eukaryota, Viridiplantae, Streptophyta, Magnoliopsida, Poales, Poaceae.
AAUAAGUGCAGUUUUGCACUAUUUAUGUUUAACGUUUGACCGUUCGUUUUAUUUGAAAUUUUUUUAUGAUUAGUAUUUUUAUUGUUAUUAGAUGAUAAAACAUGAAUAAUACUUUAUACGUGACUAAAUAUUUUUAAAUUUUUCAUAAAUUUUUUAAAUAAGACGAAUGGUCGAACGUUGGGUACGGAUAUCCACGGCUGUACUUGUU